This is a small nucleolar RNA of Phragmites australis (common reed), 87 nucleotides long. RefSeq annotates it as small nucleolar RNA U31b. Lineage: Eukaryota; Viridiplantae; Streptophyta; Magnoliopsida; Poales; Poaceae. The record is from RefSeq and is a predicted model, not a curated record. The transcript has a single exon.
GAGGAUGAUAUGAUAAUCACACUGACGCCCAGUCUUAUGUCCGUGUCGCUUGCGGAUCGAUGGCGACUGUCAUUCCGUUUCUGACUC